This 204-nucleotide non-coding RNA is filed under the name Flavisolibacter ginsengisoli. The record is from RNAcentral. Lineage: Bacteria; Pseudomonadati; Bacteroidota; Chitinophagia; Chitinophagales; Chitinophagaceae. RNAcentral also lists the same sequence under 1 other name.
ACAUUUGCCCACGUAAUUGGUUCCCGGUUGUCAUAAGCCGGGAUGAAAAGGGAAGCCGGUGAAAAUCCGGCGCUAUCCCCGUAGCUGUAAAAACCCCUGGACAUUCCAGGAAGAUCAACCUGAUACUUAUGCCACUGUUUCAUUAACGGGAAGGCUUUCAGGUUAGGUUUAAGCCAGAAGACCUGCCAGUUACCUUAAUCUAAU